UACUUUUACAAAUUAUGUUUUGUGUGUUAAAAGAUUUGAACAGUGGUAACCAUGACAACAAUAAUUGUUAUAUAGAAUGGUAGUCUUUCUAUAUAUUAAACAUAGUGGAAAAUUCAAAAUUAAUAAUAAUAAUAGUAAUAAUAGUAAUAAUAAUAAUAAUAAUUCUUUCAACUUUUGGCACAAGGCCAGCAAUUUUAGGAGGAGGUGGGUAGUCGAUUAUAUUGACCCCAGUUUCCGACUGGUACUUUAUUUAAUUGACCACAAAAGAAUGAAAGGCAAAGUUGACCUUGGUGGAAUUUGAACUAACGUAAUGGCUUGGAAGAAAAGCUGCAAAACAUUUUUUUUUCCGAGGCUCUAAUAAUUCUGCCAGCUCACCACUUUAAUAAUAAUAAUAAUAAUAAUAAUAAUGAAAGAUUUACUGUUUGAUUACAUAGGUGGAUACUUACUUCGUUAAAGACAGAAGUAUAAAAAGAUGAAGAG
RNAcentral lists this long non-coding RNA (480 nucleotides) under Octopus vulgaris (common octopus). The record is from RNAcentral. Lineage: Eukaryota; Metazoa; Mollusca; Cephalopoda; Octopoda; Octopodidae.